GGGGGAUCCCGCGCCGGCGGCGACACGAGAGGAGCCACCUGCCGAGAGCCCCCGGCGAAGAAGUACUGCCUUCCCUGGACAAGACAGGACUGCGCUCAAGUGCAUCCCAGUGACUUCGGAAAGAUCAGUCGGCACAGCGCCCCAAGAUAAGCUCCGUAAGGGGUUGUACCUGAGAGCUCCUUGACUCAAGCUCUUUUCCCAGACGAGCCCGUGAAGCUUUGAUCUGGCUCCAGGUCCCUGCCCGCUCCGCACAGCUGAGAGCCCACCACCGAGGCAGAGGUCCUGGCUCUGGAGGCCUUUCCAGCCCUGGCCAGGUGAGGACCCAGAGGUUUCUACGUCGCUCAAAGCGGAGCUCAAGACCGCUUUUGCUUGAUCUGUUUCAUGUGUGAAAUUCCUCCUGGCACACAUCCUGAGUGGCUCCAGAAACGUGAUCCUUCGGCAUCCCACCACCUGUCGUGUGAUGUAUGGAGUCGCUGUAAUCCUACAUUCAUCGUCGGGGGAAUAUUUUCAGGCAUCCAGGCUUUGAUCUGUACUUGGAUUAUGCAGAUGUUUCAAAAUGAGUCUAAAUGUAAUGCUGAGCAUUAUAAGAACAUGGCUUUUUGUUUUGUCCUGAAAUGAGUUGGGCUUCUUUCUUCUUCUUGGAGCCUCCUCAGGAAAGAACCCAUGCCAGAUCAAAGUUUCUUAUAGCACACAAGGAUCCAUUGUUUCAAGAACUGCUACAAAUUAGCAGCUGCAGUUAAAAUAAAGGGUGGAGGUAUUUUUCUUAGCCUCAUUUAAAAUUGUUUGGGUUAAUUACCCCAAAGUACAUUGAUAAAAUAAAAGUCCCUUAAGGGCUGCACAUUGUUGUUGGAUAUCAGAUCAGGCCAUGAUGAUGUGUUGGAGGCAGAAUGGAGCUGAACUGCUCUAACUGCUCACCACAAGACAGCUUCUGUUGCCUCUGGCAGCUGUAAUGAGCUUUAAUGGCAGCACCCAAGGAUUUCUCUCAGAGUUAAUGAGAAGACCCACUAUAUACUUAGACAGCAGGAGGUGGGACGGGAGGCAUCCCUCCGGCAUGCAGAUGUCUAAACUAGAUCCUUCACCCCUCUGUGCUUCUGGAUGUAGGAGAGAGAAGCCACAGAUUGGGUCAGAAGGCCCAGAGGAGGUUUUUGUCGCUGUGGUGCUACUUCCCAGUCCUGCCCCCAGCCUUACUGCCCCACAGGCAGGGACAGCCAGCCCUCCUCCUGCUCUUCGGUACCCCUGGGGCUGGAAAUGGAGAGCGUGGUGGUGGUGAUGGGCUGAGAGGAGCGGGCAAAGGUGUAGCUGCCCUAGUCUAGCAACUUGGUGAAGAAAGCUGUUUCCAGCCUGCAAGACUUGAAUUCUCUCUGCGGCUUCACUUCAAUUGGCAAAGGUGUGAUCCUGCUCUGGAUGAGGACCUCUAACAACAGUGGAAAUUUGUGUCGUCCAAAUGGAAGUGUGUAAAAAGGACUCAAAUGCAGCCCAGGGGCUAGGGUAACUCGCUGGCACUGCCAGUGAGCGGUGGUACCCUCUGCCCAGGCUGGACAUUCCUCGGGGCUUUCCUUUCAGCUUGGGUUUGUGCACUACCUACUGCAAUGGCCAGGUAGCCCACGUGUGUGCUCUGUACGGGGAUCCUGCUGUUCCCGAAACAGGACAGAGAAGCGCUAUGCAGGGACAAGAAAGAUCUGACUCCAUGGAGCUUUCACGACUAAUGCCUUCCCUUUGCUGUCCUGGAGGUCUUGAGCAAGGCUGCAGAUGAAGGGAUGUCCCCUCGCUGCAAAGCCUGGGGUGUCACUCAGAGCUCAGCUCGCCAAACCUCGGCGUUCCUGUUUGCAGGAAACAUGGGUGUUUAAAAAUGUACAUUCUGAACAGGUAUUUUCAAAGUUACCUGUGGAAGGAUAAGUCAGAAGAAAUCUACUUGGGAAAAGUAAUUAAACGUUGUUUUGAAACACAGUUUGAAAGAAAAUAAUAAUUUACGCUUCCUUAAAUGUUGCUGCUAUUGACUCAUUAUUUUAGGGGAAGUCACUAGUAGAACACAAUGUAAAAACAUAACAGUUCAAGUAUUAUCUUGUGGUCAUCACAUAAUCACAGGGAAAGCGGUCACUGAUGCUGUCUUGCUUCCCAUUUCAGAAGCUGGGGCAGCUGCAGCUCAGGAUACACGAGGGCUGCAUUUUCUAGCUGAGAGUGUCUCCAGUUAAAAUUGUUUGCAUCCAGGUUGGCUCAUGGUUUUGAUCAAAAUUUCUGGCACACUCUAUCCCUAACCUCUCCCCUCUCCUGAGGCAAAUUUUGCUCGUACAAAUUGAAUACCAUUUUCCACUAGGUCUAGUUGCCCUGGAAGGGGUGCUGAGGGAGCAGGCUGGUGCUUCCAGCCUUCCCAUGGCACCAUCCCCAGUGCUCCUCCAGGACAGGACCCUCACCCACACCCCCGGCUGCAGAGCCAUUAUGUGGCUUCCCUUCUGCUGCCCGAAGGGAUGGGGAACACACUCCAGGGUGUCCCAGGGACACGGGGACAGAGCACAGCCCUGGUGAAAACACAGCCAUUCAACUCCAUUGAGUACCCCUGGGGCCGAUGAAGCUAAGAGCAGCUCUGAGAUGAUUGAGCCAUUCAACACACAACCAGGACUUGUGCUUGGGUAUCUGGGCCUGGGUCCAGCAGAGCGGGAGGGUUAGGGAUACCUCUCAUUUCCCUAUUUGUGGGAAUUGAAUUAACGUGCACACAAUUCCAUUGCAUGCACUUAACUUAUUUAGGAGAAAAUCACACAGAUUCAGCUCUGAAGGCAUCCAGAGCACUCCCAGCCUUUAUUCGUGGUAACAUGAAGUUUCAUUCCAACCUUUGAUGCACUUCCCCACUCCCUCAUUAUUUAAAGUGUGGUUUUACUCUAAAGAUUGACUGUAUAAAAUUGGCAUCUGCUUCCUUAGCAGAUAUAUUCCAUGUGUGAAAUCAGAAUACUGGUCUGGUGACUUCAAUGGCAAGAUUGUUUUUCACAUGCUCCUUUCUCGUGCUGAUGGUGCAGAGGCUAAGUUGCACUCCUGCAUCUCAGGCAGCAGCAGCACUGCUCAUCCCUUUUGAUCCUAAGCUUUUAGCCAAGUGAAAGAAUGGUGGACUAUUUUCUUUAAAAGAAAAGGUGGUGAUGAAGAGGGUAUUUCUUUUGAUGCACCUCUGUUAAUGCACUAAGGGUAUGCACCGGUCACAAAUCACAGGAAAAAUCAGACAAAAGGGGAUAAUCUCUUUUCUUACACCUCUAACCCAGUCAGACGCCCUUUCUUUCUUGUAUAGCUUUUUAUGUUGCACUAUUGGGGUGUUUUUGUUUCAAGGGCUUCUUUUACAUCUUCUCUGCUAGCUCCCCUUGGCUGCUUGGCCUCUUUCUCAAACACAUAAGCCUUUGUAAAAGGAGAGGCAGUAAAAGCUCUCCCCCUUCUAUGCCUCGGGUGUACUUUCAUCUGGGGUAGUGACACAUGCUUGUGUUUGAUGUGGAGGUUCCUGUAGGUUUAAUUAUAUGGUUUCUUGUGGAAUGCAAUCAUUUCUUCAGCCAUCAAGUGGUCGUCACUGUGGCUGGCCAAAGACAGUAUUAAACUUCAUUAAUACCUGCUCAGUCAGAUUCUGAGCUCAUUCAUCACUCUGCAAUCCCAGGGAAGACAAAGACGGUCCCUGGUGCGGAGGGCUGGGGUACGAGGGUGUGUGGCACUCAGGGGUGACACAGCACAGCCUGGUCUGCAGCCUGUUGGGGCUGGGAAUGACACGCAAGGAGGGGAACUGCAGCUUGACUUUCAGAUCUGAAAUGAAUCUUUGCCUAACAAACCAAAAAAACAGUGCUCGUUUGAGAAAGAACUUUGCCAAAAAAAAUCAGAGUAAUGGUAUUAAAUAAUUCAGAGAUUUUCCCCUAUUUCUUUGGAGAGGUCUAGCCCAGCUUUUGUGGAAUUAGAGGAAGAUGAUUGUUUUCUCUGGAAAGGAUUUUGGGGGGCAGAUAGCUUUCAGGAAAGGAUAGUGAAAAGCUUUCAUGGAUGCUGGCUACCUGGUGUGCCUGCACACAAUGCUCACUCAGCAUCAGGGCGCUGGGGAUUCUCCAGAGUGGCAGGCUGGUCACACAAAUAGCAAAAUAUCUGCUUGUGCCUUUUUUAGAGCUAAAUAAACAGAAAACACAUGAAAAAUGCAAGACAUUUUGUCUAUGUAAGGCCUUAAAGACCUGACAGUUACAAACCUGGGUUCAGCUCUGUGCCUGCUUCCUUCUCUGUUGUAGGAGAGCAUCCUGUGGGAUGCUGGAACCUCCAUGUAGGCCACCUCUUCCAUGUAAACUUGGUAGCAAAAUAGAUGCCCUCUCCCUGAGCUGCCCUGUACCCCCCUGAGCCAUUAACAGCCCCCUUACGUGGUGUGGGGCUUAGGGCAGAUGGGGCUCUGACUAAUACCAGCUACACUAAGUCCUCUUCUCUUACAGUCCCUUCCACUUUAUGACAGACUUUAUUACUGCAGCUGUGUGCUGGCCUCAUGGUUUCAAUGAUUUUUUCCAUAAUACUCUCAAUCCCUUCGCUGCUCAUUGCUCUGGGUGAUUGGUUCCUUGCCCUCAUAUUAAAUUAUGCUAUAUUUUUCUGCAGCAAACUGCAUUAUACUUUAUUACAAGCUGGUAUUUGCCAUCUGCUGGCCCAACCUCACUAACAAGUCAAACCCUUUUGAAUAAAAGGCAGAGUUUGUAUUGCCUCCAAUGCAAUACUCUCUACGGACCCAAAGCACAUCUUUAUCUCAUGGGGUAUCCUGCAAAUAGAUCCAAGCAGGUGCCAGGGCAUCCUACAGAAUUUAUCUGUGGCAAUGUAUUUGCAGGAUUUGGCUUUUCCAAGGCAGACAGGUAAGACAAGAAGUUAUUGCAGUCUUUUUGCUGCCCUCUUCUAGUAAUUAAAAUCUCCUUGCGCAAGUGCAUUUUGCUUCCUUCUCCUACAUCCAUUUUGUGAUGUUGCUCCCAGUUUGAUAAGUUUUAUAAUUCAGUUAGCCACAGGCUUUCCCCCAGAGGGCCCUUAAUUGCCGACUGCCUCAGAACCACUGGACCAUUAUGCUGACUGUGUUUAUUGGGUUUCUGAAAGAUGCUCAACCCCACUGUCCAACAAUUUGCUACAUCUGAACCCACUGGAGUCCUAAGAACCAUAACUGUCCCAAACCCAGGAGCCCCCCUGGCUCUUCCCCACUUCCCUCUGCAACGCCUGGGAGAGCAAACGAGCCUCACAGGCAGGUUCCUCCGUGGGGAAGGACAGCCUCUUUCACUGCUUGAUUGCUCCACUGAUUCUGUUUUAGCCUUGUUGCUUUAGUUGAUCUGAGUUUGAAACAUAAAUUGGUCUAAACAGAUAAACUUCCCGCUCAGUCUUUGGCAAUUGUGGUGUGAAGGAAGGAAGGGUUGUGAUGAUGGUAAGAAAUGACCCCAAAAGUUCAGGAAGCAUCCCGUUAUCCCUGGCUGAAAUGAGGUUGCUGUGGACUGGGGCUCUGGGAGUAAAUUAAGAAAGGGUAGAGGUGGCCCUAGGCUGGGAGGACACUGAGAAGACCAAAGUGGAGUGGGUACCUCAGGCUUUGUCGUGAAUUCGCAUGCAAAAACCCUAUGGCAAGACACCUUAGUUUAAAAGCAGCCAGCUGAAGUUAGCAACCCGGGGAAUAUGUGUCUGAAGCUAGGUGUAUAUUAUUUCUUUAUGUUAACAAAUGUGCAUUUUCUGCCAUACAUGGGCACGUGUAACCCUUGAGUCUUGCUUUGCAGCUCCUUUACCAAAAGGGGUACCUCUUAAUCACAGCGGUGUGCGUAGCUGUGCACACAAACAUCUGUGUGAGCCCCAGACUUGGCUGCGUUCUUCUCACCCUGAUUUCUGCACUGCUCUACACCCCUCGACUGUGCUUGCAGUGCAGAUUUUUAAAUGGCUUGAAGUGUUAUUAAAACGGGGCUUGUAAGGAUAGAAACAGCUUCCACAGACUGAGGAACACGGCGUCAGCAAAGGAAAACUAUGUCUAUCGGCAGCAUUAACUGUAUGUGUGACAUGAUUUCUUAUAAGUAUGUCUGUGCCACAAGACAAAGCAUUUCCAUGUACAUUUGAUACAUUUCAACUAUUUUAGAGCUUCUGGGUUCUAGUCAAGUUUUUCCAUUAGUUGGCUGAAAAAGAGUAACAUACACAUUUAAAGAUAAAAAUAUGCCAU
Long non-coding RNA from Calidris pugnax (ruff), 6154 nucleotides. RefSeq lists it as uncharacterized. The transcript has 3 exons. Lineage: Eukaryota; Metazoa; Chordata; Aves; Charadriiformes; Scolopacidae. The record is from RefSeq and is a predicted model, not a curated record.